RNAcentral lists this ribosomal RNA (253 nucleotides) under uncultured bacterium. RNAcentral's name for it is "partial 16S ribosomal RNA". It matches the Rfam family "Bacterial small subunit ribosomal RNA", at positions 524 to 776 of the family's 1533-position model. The record is from RNAcentral.
UACGUAGGGCGCAAGCGUUAUCCGGAAUUAUUGGGCGUAAAGAGCUCGUAGGCGGUUUGUCGCGUCUGCUGUGAAAGACCGGGGCUCAACUCCGGUUCUGCAGUGGGUACGGGCAGACUAGAGUGCAGUAGGGGAGACUGGAAUUCCUGGUGUAGCGGUGAAAUGCGCAGAUAUCAGGAGGAACACCGAUGGCGAAGGCAGGUCUCUGGGCUGUAACUGACGCUGAGGAGCGAGAGCAUGGGGAGCGAACAGG